CUGCGAAGCGCUCAGUAAAUCAGUUAUAGUCUGUUCGAUCGUUCAAGCCCAUGGAUAACUGUGGCAAAUCUAUAGCUAAUACAUGUAACAGCCCCCACCUUGGGGCACAUUUAUUGGCUAACCGACACCACCGGUGGGUAGCAAUACCUAUCGGUAGCAGGUGAAUCUAGAUAACUGUGCUUACCGUAUGACAACUGUCGACGGUAGUUCGAUCGAAUUUCUGCCCUAUCAACUAGUUGGUAAGGUAGUGGCUUACCAAGGUAGUAACGGGUAACGGGGAAUCAGGGUUCGAUUCCGGAGAGGGAGCCUGAGAAACGGCUACCACAUCCAAGGAAGGCAGCAGGCGCGCAAAUUACCCAAUCCAAACACUGGGAGGUAGUGACGAGAAAUACUGGGGACGCUCCAAGGGAGUGUCGUCCGGAAUGAACGUAACAUAAAAAAUUCGAUGAGGAUCUACUGGAGGGCAAGUCUGGUGCCAGCAGCCGCGGUAAUUCCAGCUCCAGUAGUGUAUAUCAACAUUGUUGCGCUUAAAACGCUCGUAGUUGGAUUACAGGGCUCCAAACACAGUCGCAAGCGUGUGGCGGUGGUUGCAACAAGCCCGRUUGCUGCUCUGUAGUUGGUUUUGCCAUUCUACAGAGUCGGUGGUUGGGUAGUUCAACGGGGCCCUUUUGUCGCACUGGUCCCGGGAGAAUUCUUUAUCGAUUUUGACCGGUUGCCGGUGGAGUGUGCCUUGAAUAAAGCAUGGUGCUCAAUGCAGGCGUACGCUCGUGUGUAAUAGCAUGGAACGAAUAGAUGUUGGCCGGUUGGAGUGCGUUACGCCUUUGGUGUGGACGACUUUAACGCGGUUCGAUCAGUGUUGGUUGGAACCACGGUCUCAAUGGUUAAAAGGGACAUCUGAGGGCACUAGUACUUUGUGGCGAGAGGUGAAAUUCUUAGACCCACAAAAGACUGACUAUUGCGAAAGCAUUUGCCAAGAGUGUUUUCAUUAAUCAAGAACGAAGGUCAGAGGAUCGAAGACGAUCAGAUACCGUCCUAGUUUUGACAGCAAACUAUGCCAGCAUAGGGUCGGAGCGGUCGCUCGCCAACAGCGAGUCGUACUACUGCGGGCCUUACGGGAAACCUAGCUUUCGGGCUGCUGGGAGAAUAUCGCUGCAAGGCUGAAAUUUAAAGAAAUUGACGGAGAGGCACCACCAGGAGUGGAGCCUGCGGCUUAAUUUGACUCAACACGGGGAAACUCACCAGGUCCAGACAUUGGUAGGAUUGACAGACUGGUAGAUCUUUCAUGAUUCGGUGAAUGGUGGUGCAUGGCCGUUCUUAGUUGGUGGAGUGAUCUGUCAGGUUUAUUCCGGUAACGAUCGAGACCACGGCCUUUAGUUGGUGGUGGAGUUGUUUUUAACAGCAGCUCCGUGGCCUAACUAGAGGGACUAUUGGUGAAAAACCAGGGGAAGCGUGGCAAUAACAGGUCUGUGAUGCCCUUCGAUGUCCUGGGCUGCACGCGCGCUACAAUGGCAGCAGUAGAGAGUGAGCUGGCCAGAGAUGGUUGGCGAAACUGUAAAUAGCUGUCGUGAUAGGGAUUGAGCCUUGUAAUUAUUGCUCAUGAAAGAGGAAUUCCUCGUAAGCACGAGUCAUCAACUUGUGUUGAAUACGUCUCUGCCUCUUGUACACACCGCCCGUCGCUACUACCGAUUGAAUUGUUUUUAAAGCUGGCUGGACCGGACUAUUUUUGUCAUCGACUUGUUUGAU
RNAcentral lists this ribosomal RNA (1743 nucleotides) under Ceratomyxa gurnardi. RNAcentral describes it as "SSU rRNA". It matches the Rfam family "Eukaryotic small subunit ribosomal RNA". The record is from RNAcentral. Lineage: Eukaryota; Metazoa; Cnidaria; Myxozoa; Bivalvulida; Ceratomyxidae.